Ochotona princeps (American pika) is the source of this 588-nucleotide long non-coding RNA. RefSeq lists it as uncharacterized. The transcript has 3 exons. The record is from RefSeq and is a predicted model, not a curated record. NCBI's taxonomy places the organism in Eukaryota, Metazoa, Chordata, Mammalia, Lagomorpha, Ochotonidae.
AGCAGCCCCGGGAACCAGGCUGGAAUCGGGGUCCGGACCGACGCUGGAGUCCGACCAGAAGCCGGGGUCCGGACUGGAGUCAGGAUCCUGGCCAGGUUGACGGCCCGGACCAGAGUUGGGGACUGGGCCGGAGUCAUAUUCUGGACCGGGGUCAAGGCUUGGACAGGGGUGAGGUUCCGGACCGGGGUCGAGGCUUGGACCGGGGUCGGGGCUUGGACUGGGGUCAAGGUCCGAACCGGUGUCAGAUUCUGGACUGGGGUCGAGGCCUGGGCCAAGGUCGGGGUCCAGACUGGGGUCGAGGCUUGGACUGGAGUCGGGGUCCGGACUGGGGUCCGAUUCCGGACCUGGAUCGAGCCCUGCAAUGGGGUUGAGGCUGGCACCGGGGUUGGGGUCCUCACUGAAGCUGGGGUGCGGAUCGGGGUCGAAAUCCUUGUGGGAGUCGGAGCCCGGAGAAUUGAGGUCCGGGCCGAGGAGAGAACUGGGGUCCGCGCCUGAUGGUUCAUGGGGCCGCGGGGAGCCGGGAGUGCCCCCUCCCCGGCCCUCCUUCCCGGGGCGGGGAGAGCCUACGGCGCCCCGGCGUUCUGAACG